UAGAGCUGAAACUUGACACUGAUACUCCUAUAUAGUUGCUCUAUGAUAGUGAUAGUACCACAGGAGGCUGCUGAGGGGAGGACGGCUCAAACACAUGGAAGGAAAAGUGAUACCUAGUCAGUUGGGCAACUGAAUGCAUUCAACCAAAAUGUGUCUUCCACAUUUAACGGAUGGGUCGGAUGGGUCCACAGUGUCUCCUGACCCCUCCUGUCUCAGCCUCCAGUAUUUAUGCUGCAGUAGUUUAUGUGUCGGGGGGCUAGGGUCAGUUUGUUAUAUCUGGAGUACUUCUCCUGUCCUAUUCGGUGUCCUGUGUGAAUCUAAGUGUGCGUUCUCUAAUUCUCUCCUUCUCUCUCUCGGAGGACCUGAGCCCUAGGACCAUGCCCCAGGAUUAUCUGACAUGAUGACUCCUUGCUGUCCCCAGUCCACCUGGCCGUGCUGCUGCUCCAGUUUCAACUGUUCUGCCUUCUUAUUAUUAGAACAUGCUGAUCAUUUGUGAACAUUUGAACAUCUUGGCCAUGUUCUGUUAUAAUCUCCACCCGGCACAGCCAGAAGAGGACUGGCCACCCCACAUAUGCUCUCUCUAAUUCUCUCUUUUUUUCUCUCUCUCGGAGGACCUGAGCCCUAGGACCAUGCCCCAGGACUACCUGACAUGAUGACUCCUUGCUGUCCCCAGUCCAUCUGACCGUGCUGCUGCUCCAGUUUCAACUGUUCUGCCUUCUUAUUAUACGACCAUGCUGGACCUGAGCCCUAGGACCAUGCCCCAGGACUACCUGACAUGAUGACUCCUUGCUGUCCCCAGUCCACCUGGCCGUGCUGCUGCUCCAGUUUCAACUGACCUGAGCCCUUGGACCAUGCCCCAGGACUACCUGACAUGAUGACUCCUUGCUGUCUCCAGUCCACCUGACUGUGCUGCUGCUCCAGUUUCAACUGUUCUGCCUUAAUACUAUACGACCAUGCUGGUCAUUUAUGAACAUUUGAACAUCUUGGCCAUGUUCUGUUAUAAUCUCCACCCGGCACAGCCAGAAGAGGACUGGCCACCCCACAUAGCCUGGUUCCUCUCUAGGUUUCUUCCUAGGUUUUGGCCUUUCUAGGGAGUUUUUCCUAGCCACCGUGCUUCUACACCUGCAUUGCUUGCUGUUUGGGGUUUUAGGCUGGGUUUCUGUACAGCACUUUGAGAUAUCAGCUGAUGUAUGAAGGGCUAUAUAAAUAAAUUUGAUUUGAUUUGAUUUAAUCUACUCACUAUCAUGAUAAUGUCAUUCAAGAGGUCAUUUCAACGCUGCAUGAAAAUCCUGCCACUUUUUCCUGACACAAUUUCGCUUUAAUCUACUUAUAGAGGAUGGAUUAGAUUUAAAACAUGAAGAUUAAGAUCAUAUACAGUAUUGUAGGCAUGAUAUUUUUCAUAUAAUCUCAACGUAACUUCUAGCAUAUUUGUAAAUCAAUAAAUAGGAUGUUUUGGUACUCCUAAACUUAGUGUCGAACACCAUUCCAAUAGGCAUCAUUUUAAUAAGUAAUUAUGUAGAUUUAUGCAUAACAUUAGCAUGAUGAAUUGGGUGGUAAAUGAAGUGGCUACCCUCAAAUGAUUAAGCUGAUGAAUAAUUACGAGGAAUGUUUUGCUCUUGAUGAGACUUGUAUCCCUGGUAAAAAAAACGCUCUAAUUACCUGAAAACAUCUGGGGGUUUUAGUAACCUUCAUUAAUCUAACGCAAUCGUACGAUUUAUCUCUCUCUGUUUUCCGGCGUUAUAGACAAUGAGCCCAAUGACAGUGCAUAUAUGGUUGAGACAACACACUUUUGGCUUCAUCUCAUUUCUAUAGCGAUAUAUGUCUUAAACAAAUGCUUUCAGUCUGUAUCUUAUCUAGCUAAUCCUUCACUUCCAGGGUGUUAAUUACAUAUUAAUAAAUCCAGAUUACAACUGAAUUAACAUGUAAUAAAUAUAUGAAUUAUGUAGCUGUCACAUUCCAUAACACUGUACAGUCUAUGAAAUAUUGCACCAAAUCCCUGUGUAACCAAAUCAACAUUCUGAGAGCAUUCAGCCAUACAGCGCUCCGUACUCCUUUCAGAGACAAUAAUACAUGUCAUAUAUUUUCCCCCU
Molecule: long non-coding RNA, 2090 nt
Organism: Oncorhynchus tshawytscha (Chinook salmon)
Lineage: Eukaryota; Metazoa; Chordata; Actinopteri; Salmoniformes; Salmonidae
Source: Ensembl